CCUCUCAACUAUACGUGAGCCUGAAAUUGUCUUCUAUUUUUGAUUAAAUUACAUAAAAUCCGCAUGUCAGUAUCCGCUUUUUUACUUUCUCCCUUUCUGUCAUUCAAAAAUAUAUACAUUGUCCCCUUAAACAAUAAAAAAUGUUCACUUCAGCCUCCGCCAUAAGUGUUCCAUAAGAAUUCCAUUUAUAUCUUAUUUUGUAUAUCCAAAAUACCUCUGAAACUAUCAUCCAUACCCACACGCAUGCCCUCUGUCGCUACCUCGCCCUCGCCCUCGCUCUCGCCCACCCCUCUGUCCAUGCUCAGACACAAACCCUCACCCUCUUCCGCCGUUGGGAUGAGCAAGAUUGGAGAGGAGGAGAUGAAGAAGAUGAGGGCAAUUUGGUCAUUUUAUCACACUGUACCUCCUGUGAAUAAUUUUUAUUUUUUAGGGAGGCAAAGUGUAGGUUUUUGAAUGACGGAAGGAAAAGUGAAAAAGCGAAUAUUAACAUGAAAGUUUUAUAUAAUUUAGCCCUUUUUUUUUUUAGAGAGAGAAAGGUAGCAUGUUACCUGCUUCAUUCAUUAGACGAAAUAAACUAAGCAUACAAGAUGAAAGAAGCCAAGGCCUCCUAGGAAACAAAAAAAUAUAGAAGAAAUAAAACAGAAGAAAAGAGAGAUAGGAACCAAAAACCAGCAAUGGAAAAGAAAUAGAAAAGACGUGAGAAGAAAAGUCAGCUACACCGAAAUAGAUAAUCUACGAGGCG
This 742-nucleotide long non-coding RNA is filed under the name Ananas comosus (pineapple). RNAcentral describes it as "long non-coding RNA (ACOM_LNC034086)". The record is from RNAcentral. Lineage: Eukaryota; Viridiplantae; Streptophyta; Magnoliopsida; Poales; Bromeliaceae.